This 1517-nucleotide unclassified non-coding RNA is filed under the name Bombus terrestris (buff-tailed bumblebee). RNAcentral's name for it is "misc RNA ENSBTSG00005033112.1". The record is from RNAcentral. Lineage: Eukaryota; Metazoa; Arthropoda; Insecta; Hymenoptera; Apidae.
CGAACAACCCUACAUAAUCGGCGCAGAGACAUUUGCGCAGCGUACAGGAUUCGCUUAUAGUCUAGGAGCAUAGACAAUGAACAAGCAGUACGAAUCUGCCUUUAUGAGGAACAGUAUCGUUCAACGGUUUUUCAUAUUAGAAACACGAUAAUGUGGACGUGCUACGGAAUAGUUACCUAUUUAAACGUUACGAUUUUCGUGUUUAGCAAGUGUUUGUGCAAUUGAAUUCUUCCCUGACGUACAUCGUGAUACACAAAGAAGUUUAUUCCAGUGAUACAGUUCUUCGUAAAUUCUUUUCCAUGCUGUUACGGAUAUCGGUUACAUCACUGUUGUUUACAAAACACGAGUUUCGGCUGAUUAGUUGGUUACAAAAAAAGAACAAUAACAACAAAGAACCGAUUCGGAAGGACGAACCUUUCGUUUAUAUCCGAAUCUCUCAUCAAACAGGUCAUAUUGUAGGAUGUCGGCAUACUUUCCGCGGUGAACAUAUGAACGCACAAAAGAUAUAUGGAUGCUGACAUUAUUUCGUUUAACCGAAUCAUCGAGCAACACAAACAAUUCUUUUUCACGUUAUUAUUAUUUCACAUUAUAAAAUAUGUUAAUUAUUUUUCGAUAUAAUUGCCGUUUGCAUCAAUCCAUAUUUGGCAACGCGUGACAAGUUCCUUCAUUCCGUCAGCGAAGAAUUCUGCUGGGUACUUCUAGUAAACCUGUGACACACAACUUCACUGCUCUCUUAACUUCAUUUUCACACUUGAAAUGAGUUGCCCAUCUCGUUAUUUUCCAUUUAUAAUUUGUAUAAAAUGAAACUAAAUCGUCACAGCGAUCUCUGUAUUAUCGUCUGCUUAUACUCUAACUCGCACCUCUUGCGGCCACAUCUGCACGCUGCUUGAACGGAAAAAAAUAAAGCGCUACUGAAACCUCUCGAAACGAAUUUCUUUGUGUAUGCUGUUACUUUUCUAGCGAUAUUUGUAUUUCACAUUCCGAUUGCCGCUCAUGGGUUGGAUCACUUAAUAACAGGAAUACAAGCCCCCUUGAUACCAUUCAAUUUCUAUAUGAAACUUUCUUCCCUAUUUUUUAUAUGUAUAGAAAUAAUAGCGCGUAUAUCCUUAAAAUGGACAUACUAUAUACUUCAUGAGUUAUGGCUUGUGACUGUUUAGUGUAAUCAUAACGGUAUCUACGUGUAGACUCUAUCUUAGAAAACAGUGACAUUUCAAAAAGGAUAUGAAAUUGAAGUUAUAUUUCGAUUGCGACGAACCAAGAAUCUAAUCCUUCUGACCAUAUGUUUCACCGAGGGUCAAAAGGUAAUGUGAAAUAAUGUUUAAUAGCAAUUCGAUGUCACUAAAAAUGUCGCAUAGUCACUAAAGACGGUGAUGCGUAUGAUUUCGAUAUCCAAUUUUGCAGAGAUUUCUCGUAGUUAAUCUGUUGACCAACUGAACCCGUCUAACCUUUCUUACUAUCCACUUCACACCUUAGAAGUUGGGGAAAAAGUACUAUUGCCGAAUAAGAGGAAAUCGAGA